AGUGAACGCUGGCGGUAGGCCUAACACAUGCAAGUCGAACGGCAGCACAGUAAGAGCUUGCUCUUACGGGUGGCGAGUGGCGGACGGGUGAGGAAUACAUCGGAAUCUACUUUUUCGUGGGGGAUAACGUAGGGAAACUUACGCUAAUACCGCAUACGACCUACGGGUGAAAGCAGGGGAUCUUCGGACCUUGCGCGAUUGAAUGAGCCGAUGUCGGAUUAGCUAGUUGGCGGGGUAAAGGCCCACCAAGGCGACGAUCCGUAGCUGGUCUGAGAGGAUGAUCAGCCACACUGGAACUGAGACACGGUCCAGACUCCUACGGGAGGCAGCAGUGGGGAAUAUUGGACAAUGGGCGCAAGCCUGAUCCAGCCAUACCGCGUGGGUGAAGAAGGCCUUCGGGUUGUAAAGCCCUUUUGUUGGGAAAGAAAAGCAGCAGGUUAAUACCCCGCUGUUCUGACGGUACCCAAAGAGGAAGCACCGGCUAACUUCGU
RNAcentral lists this ribosomal RNA (491 nucleotides) under uncultured bacterium. Its description in RNAcentral is "partial 16S ribosomal RNA". It matches the Rfam family "Bacterial small subunit ribosomal RNA", at positions 29 to 506 of the family's 1533-position model. The record is from RNAcentral.